UACAGAGGUCUCAAGCGUUGUUCGGAUUUAUUGGGCGUAAAGAGCGUGUAGGCGGCUAGAUAGGUCCGUUGUGAAAACUCGAGGCUCAACCUCGGGACGUCGGCGGAAACCAUCUGGCUAGAGUCCGGAAGAGGAGAGUGGAAUUCCCGGUGUAGCGGUGAAAUGCGCAGAUAUCGGGAAGAACACCCGUGGCGAAGGCGGCUCUCUGGGACGGUACUGACGCUGAGACGCGAAAGCGUGGGGAGCGAACAGG
This 253-nucleotide ribosomal RNA is filed under the name uncultured bacterium. RNAcentral's name for it is "partial 16S ribosomal RNA". It matches the Rfam family "Bacterial small subunit ribosomal RNA", at positions 524 to 776 of the family's 1533-position model. The record is from RNAcentral.